RNAcentral lists this long non-coding RNA (455 nucleotides) under Helianthus annuus (common sunflower). RNAcentral's name for it is "hypothetical non coding rna". The record is from RNAcentral. Lineage: Eukaryota; Viridiplantae; Streptophyta; Magnoliopsida; Asterales; Asteraceae.
GGCUCACAUGGGUAGAGUUGUUGAUUUUUUGGAGCUUAAACAGAUAAUUAUUGAAUUUGUGUUUAAAUCGCCCCUUCAUUUGAUUCUAACAUCGUGUGCAACAUAGAAGGGUCUUCUAUAUACCUUCCCUGUUUCAGGUGAGUUUAGUAUGAAUGAAAAAACCACAGCUGGAGGAGAGAUUCAGUUGAUUGAUCUUUCUAAUCUGUUGCAGUUGUUCUUCACAUCAGGUGCGUGCUUGCGUUCGAACCACCACAUUUCCCCAUAAUCACGGCCCCAAAAAGUAAUUUAUACCUCCGUUUUAGUUGCUGUUUUCAUUUCAAUCGUUGUCCCCUUGGUGGUUUUUUUUCCGCAGAUGUGAAAUUUGGGACGUAUGUUGCGCUGUUGUAUCUAUUGAGUUUACAUGCACACCAGGUGUUUGAUUUAAUGCCUCAAUGAAAGAUGCCUCUUUUUGUUUC